AUUGAACGCUGGCGGCAGGCUUAACACAUGCAAGUCGAACGAUGAUUAUCUAGCUUGCUAGAUAUGAUUAGUGGCGGACGGGUGAGUAACAUUUAGGAAUCUGCCUAGUAGUGGGGGAUAGCUCGGGGAAACUCGAAUUAAUACCGCAUACGACCUACGGGUGAAAGGGGGCGCAAGCUCUUGCUAUUAGAUGAGCCUAAAUCAGAUUAGCUAGUUGGUGGGGUAAAGGCCCACCAAGGCGACGAUCUGUAACUGGUCUGAGAGGAUGAUCAGUCACACCGGAACUGAGACACGGUCCGGACUCCUACGGGAGGCAGCAGUGGGGAAUAUUGGACAAUGGGGGCAACCCUGAUCCAGCCAUGCCGCGUGUGUGAAGAAGGCCUUUUGGUUGUAAAGCACUUUAAGCAGGGAGGAGAGGCUAAUGGUUAAUACCCAUUAGAUUAGACGUUACCUGCAGAAUAAGCACCGGCUAACUCUGUGCCAGCAGCCGCGGUAA
This 496-nucleotide ribosomal RNA is filed under the name uncultured bacterium. Its description in RNAcentral is "partial 16S ribosomal RNA". It matches the Rfam family "Bacterial small subunit ribosomal RNA", at positions 30 to 523 of the family's 1533-position model. The record is from RNAcentral.